Molecule: ribosomal RNA, 468 nt
Filed under: uncultured bacterium
Lineage: Bacteria
Description: partial 16S ribosomal RNA
Rfam family: Bacterial small subunit ribosomal RNA
Source: RNAcentral
GACGAACGCUGGCGGCGUGCUUAACACAUGCAAGUCGAACGGAAAGGCCCUGCUUUUGUGGGGUGCUCGAGUGGCGAACGGGUGAGUAACACGUGAGUAAACUGCCCUUGACUUUGGGAUAACUUCAGGAAACUGGGGCUAAUACCGGAUAGGAGCUCCUGCUGCAUGGUGGGGGUUGGAAAGUGUCGGCGGUGUGGGAUGGACUCGCGGCUUAUGAGCUUGUUGGUGGGGUAGUGGCUUACCAAGGCUUUGACGGGUAGCCGGCCUGAGAGGGUGAACGGCCACAUUGGUACUGCGAUACGGACCAGACUCCUACGGUAGGCAGUAGUCGGGAACAUUGCACAUUGGGGCGACGCGUGUUGCAGCAACGCCGCGUGCGGGAUGACGGCCUUCGGGUUGUAAACCGCUUUCGCCUGUGACGAAGCGUGAGUGACGGUAAUGGGUAAAGAAGCACCGGCUAACUACGUG